UAGUGGCGGACGGGUGAGUAACGCGUGAGCAACCUGCCCUUCAGAGGGGGACAACAGUUGGAAACGACUGCUAAUACCGCAUAAAAUACUUUUGCUGCAUGGCAGAGGUAUCAAAGAUUUAUCGCUGAAGGAUGGGCUCGCGUCUGAUUAGCUAGUUGGUGGGGUAAAGGCCCACCAAGGCGACGAUCAGUAGCCGGACUGAGAGGUUGAACGGCCACAUUGGGACUGAGAUACGGCCCAGACUCCUACGGGAGGCAGCAGUGGGGAAUAUUGGGCAAUGGGGGCAACCCUGACCCAGCAACGCCGCGUGAAGGAAGAAGGCUUUCGGGUUGUAAACUUCUUUGACGAGGGACGAAAAAAAUGACGGUACCUCGAAAACAAGCCACGGCUAACUACGUGCCAGCAGCCGCGGUAAUACGUAGGUGGCAAGCGUUGUCCGGAUUUACUGGGUGUAAAGGGCGCGUAGGCGGGACUGCAAGUCAGAUGUGAAAUGCAGAGGCUCAACCUCUGAGCUGCAUUUGAAACUGUAGUUCUUGAGUAUCGGAGAGGCAGGCGGAAUUCCUAGUGUAGCGGUGAAAUGCGUAGAUAUUAGGAGGAACACCAGUGGCGAAGGCGGCCUGCUGGACGACAACUGACGCUGAGGCGCGAAAGCGUGGGGAGCAAUACAGGGUUAGAUACCCUGGUAGUCCACGCCGUAAACGAGCUUGCAGGUGGGGGGGACUGACCCCCUCCGUGCCGAGAGUAAUCACAAUAAGUUUUCCACCUGGAGGUACGGGCCGCAAGGUUGAAACUCAAAGGAAUUGUCGGGGGCCCGCACAAAGCAGUGGAUUAUGUGGUUUAAUUCGGAGCAACGCGAAGAACCUUACCAGGGCUUGACAUCCAACUAACGAAGCAGAGAUGCAUUAGGUGCCCUUCGGGGAAAGUUGAGACAGAUGGUGCAUGGUUGUCGUCAGCUCGUGUCGUGAGAUGUUGGGUUAAGUCCCGCAACGAGCGCAACCCUUAUUGUUAGUUGCUACGCAAGAGCACUCUAGCGAGACUGCCGUUGACAAAACGGAGGAAGGUGGGGACGACGUCAAAUCAUCAUGCCCCUUAUGUCCUGGGCUACACACGUAAUACAAUGGCGUUCAACAGAGGGAAGCAAAGCCGCGAGGUGGAGCAAAUCCCCAAAAGGCGUCUCAGUUCGGAUUGCAGGCUGCAACUCGCCUGCAUGAAGUCGGAAUUGCUAGUAAUCGCGGAUCAGCAUGCCGCGGUGAAUACGUUCCCGGGCCUUGUACACACCGCCCGUCACACCAUGAGAGCCG
This 1301-nucleotide ribosomal RNA is filed under the name uncultured bacterium. Its description in RNAcentral is "bacterial SSU rRNA". It matches the Rfam family "Bacterial small subunit ribosomal RNA", at positions 93 to 1413 of the family's 1533-position model. The record is from RNAcentral.